UUUAAAGCUUCAUUUUAUUCAUGCUUCGAACUUCAGUUACAUUGAACCAGUGUAUCGAUUGUGUGUACCUAGUACUUAGAAUCGCCAAAGAAGAAGAGGAGAGUCACUAGUGCAGCAGUACAAACCAGCAGGGUCAGCAACAAACAGAUUCAGCAAAACCAGUAGAACCAAUAGCAUGAAUUCCAGGGAAGAUUGCAAAUUAAACAAGAGGAAACCCAAGGGAUCAAUGUAAACACUACUUGGAUACCAACAGAAACUCAACAAACCCAAAUGAAUACCAGAAGCUAAAUACCAACAAAAACCUAAGAAAUUUCACACAAAAAAUAAACUCAAUGCCCAAAAUGCCCUCACAGUUAAAGCAAAAAUGAAGCAGACCUAAGAAAUAAGUAUUUCGGAUUGUGAACACUCAAAGAAAUAAAUUGAAUCCCUUGAAGUAAAGCUUAGCCUUUUAUAGCUCUAACUUACUGAAACUCUUAGAGUAAGAAUUCCAGCCUAUAUCACUCAAUUUCUCUUAACCGAUUCUUCUCCCCCCUCUAAGUGUCAAAUGACUCUUCUUUUAUAUCUAAAACAAGACUCUCUUCCCUUUUCCUUUAAUUAUUAUUACUACCCUCUUUUUAUUAUUACCCUUCCAAUUAUCCUCCCUUUCCUUUAAUUUUCAGUCCCCACCAAAUGUUCUCUUCUAUGUCUAUCUUUUAACCUUUUAUCAUUACUUAUAUUAUUUCUGAUUUUAAUUAAGCAAAAAGUAGUCAACACGGGUCCAACAAUCCCCCUUUUUCAAUGGUCAAAGAAGAUCACAUUAUUACCCCUCUUUACGUAAUUAUGUCUUGUCUCCCACUAUAUUAUUUUAAUAAUACUUUAAUCUAGUGGACAAAUCACUUAAAUUAAAUAGUUGUUCAAAUUUUAAAUUCCAAAAAUACCCCCCCCCCCAAAUUACAAAAAAUUACUACUCUACCCCUAUCAGCUAUAAUUAAUUCACCUAAAUCAAUUAACCAAAAUAUAGCAGCUACAACCAAUUCUUAAUCAAAUUCAAUCAACAAUUCAAAUUAAAUGAUAAACAACAAACAAAAAACUAAAAUUAUUUUGAACAACAUUCUUAACAAUAAAUAUACUUUCAAAUUCAACAACAAUAAUAAACAAGUAAAUUCAAAUCACUAAACUCGGAUUCAAAUUAAACUUAACAGAACAAUAAAACAGAUUCAAUUCACUAAACUUAAUCAUCAAUUGAACUUCAAAUUAAAUCUAACAAUAUUACAUCAAGAUAAAAGAUUCAAGUGAUUAAACUAAAACAUUUCUAUAUUAAAACUAAACAAUAACAAAUGAAUGAAAACAAAUUGAACUGGGAGUGAAUCUUAUCAACACUCUAAAUCAAAACUAUACAAAAAUGUAAGCUUACUGACAGUGAGACAAAUUCCAAGGAUUAGCACAUGACACAUUCGACAUCAAUCCAUUUGACGAGAAUUACAAACUACAAACAUGAAUGGACUAAUCGACGAAGUUAUUUAGACGACUCAACAAGUAUAACCCAUGACAAUCAAAAAUUAAACAAAUAACAAUAUUAAAAAUAGAACAAAAGCAGAGGAAAAACAAAAUACCUUACAAGAUUCGGGACUAAACGAGCUUAGGGUUCGAACCUCUACUGUUUUUCGUCAUUUUAUUUUUGUAUUUUU
Molecule: long non-coding RNA, 1667 nt
Filed under: Nicotiana benthamiana
Lineage: Eukaryota; Viridiplantae; Streptophyta; Magnoliopsida; Solanales; Solanaceae
Description: long non-coding RNA (NBEN_LNC025925)
Source: RNAcentral